CCCUCCUUGCAACUCCCUUUUCCAUGGCUCACACGCGUGAAGCUCCCUUCAUGGCUGCUCUUCCCCUGUGCAUCUUCACCCGAUUUUUCCCAUGGCUCCGAGCUGCAUCCGGCACGGCUGCGAGUUUGGGACCCCAUGCGACGACGGGGCGACCAUGGCCGGUAUGUGCAAUGUAAUCAUGGGAAGAGCAUAUAAUGUACAAAAGGAGCAGGUAAUAUACCUUCAGACCAAAGCAUUUGACUAAGAAUUCACCAAUAACUCGUGUGAGCAUCACUGCUAAAGACUUCUUUUUCCUAUGCAUGAACCUUUUUGCCUCGUGAACAUACUCAAGGGGAUCAUCUUGCAAGGUUAUAUUAAAUGGGCAGAUGAGACCGGUAAGUUGAUUUCCUGUCUCUACCUUGGUAACAUAUGUCUGUUCAUAGUUGUAAGAAGAAAAUUAAUAUAAUUUGUAGUAUCAGUUAAACAAAUUUGUGAUGAAGCGCGUGUUACUAGGUUUACAUUUGUAUGCCACUCAAUUAGUAUUUACUAUUACUUAUCUGAACCAAGAAAAUAAAGUUCUUACUUGUCUGGUAGAGACAGGCCUUGCGUCGACAAGGACACAUGAACGCAGACCGAUUGUCUUAGUAUUACUGCCACCUAACAUUAAAUAUAAGAAAGCAAAGUGUAAGAAAUGUGUGUCUACAGAACAAACAUCCAUUGUCGUUACCGGAAAAACUACUUACCAGACUUUCUAAAGUAGUAAUGUGAAAGAGCUGCCGAAGUCACACCAACCAGCACGUCGUUGAUAGUCUGUGAAAAUGAAAAGGAGGGACAGAAAUGUCCUAUAUAUGAGUCAAAUGGAGACACGACAUCGAGCAGGGGAGGCACAUUUAUAUACGGCUUGAUUAGGGGGUCAUGGCCAUGCUAUUCAAUAACUAGUCAUGAAACCCACACAUUGUGUGGGCAACAUAUUUAAAGAAAAAUGCAAUUCCAAUUUUAUAUAUUUUUUCAUAAAUUGUUUUGAGGAGACUUUAAAUUGUAGAACUAAUUUUUGUUCUGUUUACCAUGUUAUAUUGUCCACUUUAAAUAUUGUUUUUAGUAUUUAUCUAAAGGUUAUCUUGAAAACUACCAAAGUAAUACGUAGACUUUGUGCUUGUGAUUUAUAUUGAAAAUAUCUGUAAACCUACGAGGGUGACUACAUUUGCGCGUCUAGAUUUCUAAAUAAUAUUCAAAAAAUCAAGUUUUGUAGUCAUUAUUUUCCAAUGUAUAAGUAACAUUAGAACUGGCAUUACCGCGAAGAAACUGGUGAAUAAAAUGAUACUACUUUCACUUGGCCAAUAAUAUUUCUUAUAUUUUUUGGGGGUUAAUAGCCAAAGUUAGAAAAGGACCAAUUGAAUUUUGCUUGGCAUUUAUUCCUGUAAGCUGUUAUCUAUCGUUUAAUAAAUCAUAGAAUAGAUACUACCUAUAAAGGUUAAACGACUUACGUACCCAGUUCAUACUUUGUUUUUGGAGUCCUAUAUUCCAAUUCUGAUUUUAUCAUAAAUUUAUUGUUUUGAGAGGAUUUAAAAUGUACAGUAAUUUUUGAUAUUUUUUCACAUGCCAUAAUAACCAUUUUAAAAUGUUAUUUUCAGCUUUCCUCAAAAAAUUUCUAGAUAACUGCCAACAUAUUACUUAAAAAAAUCAAGUGGUCCUUGCAUCCGUGAUUUCAAUUGCUAUCUCUAAGUAAUUGGAAAAAAAAAAUAUCAGCAGCUAUACGUACGCAAUUCAUGGCAGUUUUGAUGAACUUGACAUCCUCAAAGCUAAGGGUCCGAUGCACGAAACGCUUGCGGCGACGAGUCUCGCUACCGCCUGGUGGACGCAUGAAGAGAGUGGGUGGGUCACUCAAGAACAGUAUUGUCGCGACAAUCAACGCCAUGUCCACAAGUGUGUGCCAAGCCAGCACAAAAUGGGACCAAACCCACGCGAACAGCGCGAGGUAAUCACCCGAAGACAGCGGAGGCCGUGGUGGCAGCUGGUAGAUGGCGCCCGUGCGCUUGGGUGGUGGCGGCAUAGCUGGCAGCCUUGAUGGAUUGACCAUGCUGCGCGAUGAUGCCACCAGGAGUGUUGUGAUGGACAUGCCGUCGCCAAUGGAGUGGUGCAGACGGAGCACCACCGUGGAGGCGGCCUCGGAGGUUGGGAAGUCGAGGAAGUGGAACUCCCAGAGAGGACGGCACCUAUCCAUCGGGAGCAGGGACAGCGAUGCCACAUAGUCCUCCACGGCCUUUUCCGGAUCGGAUGCCACAGCAGCAGCAUCCAGCCUUGGGAUGACGAUGUGGUCAUCCACAUUUACAGCCGUUUGCACCCAUCGCGGGUUGCCAUCCUUGGCGGACUCGUCCAUUACCUGUACAUGCAAAGAAUGAGAUGCAUAAAAUACAACUAUAUUUUCAGUUAAUGCCAUCGUAUAAAUACUCA
Molecule: long non-coding RNA, 2430 nt
Organism: Triticum dicoccoides
Lineage: Eukaryota; Viridiplantae; Streptophyta; Magnoliopsida; Poales; Poaceae
Exons: 2
Source: RefSeq, a predicted model, not a curated record